GCCAAACUCAUUUUCAUUUACAGUAAAAAGUAAAACUCUCUAGAUCGAUAAAUUGAAAUCGUAAAGUAUAAUACAUCUUUGUUUAUUGCUGUUUGAAAUUUCGUUUGUUACGAAAGGACAUCAUCCGCCAUCUUGUCGCGUCAUGUCACGAGAUAAACUCCAUCAUAUUUCUUUCGUUUUUCAACUAAGCAAGUCACAGGGAAGAAGAAAAUAAAUACUGAAAAGGUAGAAGUUAAUCACAUAGCAGAUGGAUAUCACGAAUCAUGGGCGGAUCAUUGUCUGUAGGGCUACAAAUCUUAAUUGUACUCCUUAAAUUCUUCAUACCACAUUACAGUGAGGCCAGCAUGCCGUUUAUCUGCCUUUUUCUCCAAGAAAAACAACUCCCGCUGUCUGAAGACCUGAUUUUCAUGCAACAAGGGACACCACAAGCAUAAACUUCGCUUUGAUCUUUAAAAGAUAAUAAUUCAAACAUGUUAAGCCUUCAUGUUUUACGAAGUUCGAAAAUGACGUGUUGAAUCGAAAAAGAAUGAAAUAGAUAAAUCAAGAAAGAAAAAUUGAUUUAAUGGCCGUAGCAUGUAUAUAUAUAUAUUUUCUAAGCCAAUAAUUUCCAAAAUGAAUUAUAUGGAAUGCACUGCAAUAAGUAUAUUAAAGAUAUAAUAAUUCAAAACUUCUUAAUGUUUAUUACUGAAAAAAAUAUA
Long non-coding RNA from Limulus polyphemus (Atlantic horseshoe crab), 698 nucleotides. RefSeq lists it as uncharacterized. The record is from RefSeq and is a predicted model, not a curated record. Lineage: Eukaryota; Metazoa; Arthropoda; Merostomata; Xiphosura; Limulidae. The transcript has 3 exons.